CGGGGGAGCGUUCGCGCUUCCGCCGGCGACCGGCGCACGGGUGAGUAACACGUAUGGAACCUGCCCGCAGCAGGGGGAUAAUCGGGGGGAAACCCCGUCUAAUACCGCGUAACGACCCGGAGGGGCAUCCCUUCGGGUCCAAAGGUUUACCGGCUGCGGAUGGCCAUGCGUCGCAUUAGCUUGUUGGCGGGGUAACGGCCCACCAAGGCGACGAUGCGUAGGGGUUCUGAGAGGAAGGUCCCCCACACUGGUACUGAGACACGGACCAGACUCCUACGGAAGGCAGCAG
Molecule: ribosomal RNA, 289 nt
Filed under: uncultured bacterium
Lineage: Bacteria
Description: partial 16S ribosomal RNA
Rfam family: Bacterial small subunit ribosomal RNA
Source: RNAcentral